Molecule: ribosomal RNA, 465 nt
Filed under: uncultured bacterium
Lineage: Bacteria
Description: partial 16S ribosomal RNA
Rfam family: Bacterial small subunit ribosomal RNA
Source: RNAcentral
CCUACGGGUGGCUGCAGUAGGGAAUUUUCGUCAAUGGGCGCAAGCCUGAACGAGCGAUGCCGCGUGAGUGAAGACGGCCUUCGGGUCGGAAAGCCCUGUUGCGGGGGAAAAAAGGCAGCAUCAGGAAAUGGGUGCUGACUGAUGGUGCCCCGCCAGAAAGUCACGGCUAACUACGUGCCAGCAGCGGCGGUAAUACGGAGGUGGCGAGCGGUAACCGGAAUGAUUGGGCGUAAAGGGUGGGCAGGCGGUCAUGCAAGUCUGGAGGGAAAAGAAUGGGCUCAACUCAUGCAUGGCUUUGGAAACUGGAGGACUGGAGAGCAGGAGAGGUCGGUGGAACUCGAGGUGUAGCGGUAAAAUGCGUAGAUAUAUGGAAGAACCCCAGUGGCGAAGGCGGCCGCCUGGCCUGUUGCUGACGCUGAGGCACGAAAGCGUGGGGAGCAAAUAGGAUUAGAUACCCCAGUAGUC